AAUUCAUUGCCGAUCCGUCCUUUCUAAACGAAAGCAUGAAACGGCGGACGUGGCCGAAAUAUCACCGGCUUAUGCCGACGGCCUGAGGGUAAAGUUGGAAACGGCUUUGCCUUCCGUGUUUGAAAAGGAGAAUGG
This 135-nucleotide non-coding RNA is filed under the name bovine gut metagenome. RNAcentral's name for it is "Moco (molybdenum cofactor) riboswitch". The stretch from base 10 to 128 matches the Rfam family "Molybdenum/Tungsten riboswitch aptamer (Moco RNA motif)", at positions 15 to 117 of the family's 135-position model. The record is from RNAcentral.